UUGUGACUUAGUUAGGGGGCAAAUAUUAAUUAGGAUUUUUUGAAAGAUAGGCAUAUUGAUUGAAUGGACAAUCUGCUUUUAUUAUCAGCUGUCCUCAAGCUGCCUUUCACAAUC
This is a small nucleolar RNA of Medicago truncatula (barrel medic), 114 nucleotides long. It matches the Rfam family "Small nucleolar RNA U19". Lineage: Eukaryota; Viridiplantae; Streptophyta; Magnoliopsida; Fabales; Fabaceae. The record is from Rfam.